AUGGCCGUCCCGCGCCUCCGCGGCCUCCUCCUCCGCCGCAUCCCGCACGGCCGCCGGCUCUCCCGCAGGAUCGGAUCCCACCCACCUCCACCUGCCAUGGCCGCAUCGCGCCUCCACCGCCUGCUUCUCCGCUGGGCCGAAUCCUGCCGCCGGCCAGUGCCAGUGCUCACCGCGCCAUGGCCGCCCCCCUCGCUUCCUCGCGCCGCCCGUCCACCACCGUGCGCUGCCCGCUGUUGGCCGUUUGUUUUGGCCGACCGGCGGCCGCCGGUACGACGUCUUCUGGGCGCUGGGACGCGGACCGGGCGCGGUUCUAUUGCUGCUGCCCCAGGUCGUCGAGGAACAGUACUGUCAAGCUGGACGAACCCCCUUCCUCUGCUCCAAGCCUCUAGGUGCAGUUGGGAUGCAGGCCAUCCGCCCUUUGUCCACCGGUGUCGUUGCUCUGCUCCGCCCUCUGGCCACUGGCGUCGUUGCUCUGCUCCACUGCCGUCAUCGUUUGCCAGGAACCCGGUUUUAUCCACGUCUUCCCCAGGUCAACAGAGCCGCAUUUAG
Molecule: ribosomal RNA, 549 nt
Filed under: Triticum aestivum (bread wheat)
Lineage: Eukaryota; Viridiplantae; Streptophyta; Magnoliopsida; Poales; Poaceae
Description: partial small subunit ribosomal RNA
Source: RNAcentral